GAUGAACGCUGGCUACAGGCUUAACACAUGCAAGUCGAGGGGAAACGACGGGGAAGCUUGCUUCCCCGGGCGUCGACCGGCGCACGGGUGAGUAACGCGUAUCCAACCUGCCUCUGACUGAGGGAUAACCCGUCGAAAGUCGGCCUAAUACCUCAUGGCAUCGUCUGCGGGCAUCCAACGACGAUUAAAGAUUUCAUCGGUCAGGGAUGGGGAUGCGUCUGAUUAGCUUGUUGGCGGGGUAACGGCCCACCAAGGCGACGAUCAGUAGGGGUUCUGAGAGGAAGGUCCCCCACAUUGGAACUGAGACACGGUCCAAUCUCCUACGGGAGGCAGCAGUGAGGAAUAUUGGUCAAUGGGCGGGAGCCUGAACCAGCCAAGUAGCGUGCAGGAUGACGGCCCUAUGGGUUGUAAACUGCUUUUAUGCGGGGAGAAAGUGAGGGACGUGUCCCUCAUUGCAGGUACCGCAUGAAUAAGGACCGGCUAAUUCCGUG
Molecule: ribosomal RNA, 491 nt
Filed under: uncultured bacterium
Lineage: Bacteria
Description: partial 16S ribosomal RNA
Rfam family: Bacterial small subunit ribosomal RNA
Source: RNAcentral